AAGUCGUAACAAGGUUUCCGUAGGUGAACCUGCGGAAGGGAUCAUUAGUAAUGGAGAGUCCGGACCAUGUUCGUGGGCGGGAAAGCUCGCACGUGCCAGUAAGCGCCCGUAAACCCUCCUACCCUUGUGUAUUUAUUCUUCUGUUGCUUUGGCAGGCCGCGGACCCCUCUGGGGGAGACGUCUGGCUUCGGCUGGAGAGUUGCCUGCCAGAGGACCAACUUCUGUAAUUUAAUGCCGUCUGAGUACUACGAAAAUAGAUUAAAA
This 264-nucleotide unclassified non-coding RNA is filed under the name plant metagenome. Its description in RNAcentral is "partial contains small subunit ribosomal RNA and internal transcribed spacer 1". The stretch from base 1 to 47 matches the Rfam family "Eukaryotic small subunit ribosomal RNA", at positions 1786 to 1831 of the family's 1831-position model. The record is from RNAcentral.